This 492-nucleotide ribosomal RNA is filed under the name uncultured bacterium. Its description in RNAcentral is "partial 16S ribosomal RNA". It matches the Rfam family "Bacterial small subunit ribosomal RNA", at positions 29 to 507 of the family's 1533-position model. The record is from RNAcentral.
AGUGAACGCUGGCGGUAGGCCUAACACAUGCCAGUCGAACGGCAGCACAGUAAGAGCUUGCUCUUACGGGUGGCGAGUGGCGGACGGGUGAGGAAUACAUCGGAAUCUACUUUUUCGUGGGGGAUAACGUAGGGAAACUUACGCUAAUACCGCAUACGACCUACGGGUGAAAGCAGGGGAUCUUCGGACCUUGCGCGAUUGAAUGAGCCGAUGUCGGAUUAGCUGGUUGGCGGGGUAAAGGCCCACCAAGGCGACGAUCCGUAGCUGGUCUGAGAGGAUGAUCAGCCACACUGGAACUGAGACACGGUCCAGACUCCUACGGGAGGCAGCAGUGGGGAAUAUUGGACAAUGGGCGCAAGCCUGAUCCAGCCAUACUGCGUGGGUGAAGAAGGCCUUCGGGUUGUAAAGCCCUUUUGUUGGGAAAGAAAAGCAGCAGGUUAAUACCCCGCUGUUCUGACGGUACCCAAAGAAUAAGCACCGGCUAACUUCGUG